GCCCGGGUAGUCUAGUGGUUUAUGAUUCUCGCUUUGGGCUUACAACUCAACCUGCGAGAGGUCCCGCGUUCGAGUCGCGGCUCGGGCC
Non-coding RNA from Penicilliopsis zonata CBS 506.65, 88 nucleotides. NCBI's taxonomy places the organism in Eukaryota, Fungi, Ascomycota, Eurotiomycetes, Eurotiales, Aspergillaceae. The record is from the annotation of a RefSeq genome assembly.